Long non-coding RNA from Sinocyclocheilus rhinocerous, 142 nucleotides. RefSeq lists it as uncharacterized. The record is from RefSeq and is a predicted model, not a curated record. The transcript is spliced from 3 exons. Lineage: Eukaryota; Metazoa; Chordata; Actinopteri; Cypriniformes; Cyprinidae.
UAAAAUCACUGACGCGGGUCACAAAGAGACAUCAAGGUGCACAUGGUGUGUGUUCCGUCCAUCCCAAAACUACAGGCGCUCUUCGCCUCUCAUCAAAUAAAGCCACAAGCACGCUCUCAAAUAUCCGUCCGCCCCUUCCACA